GUUGCAAAUUUGAAACUUAAUCUGGCCCAAAUUUCCUAUUUUUUAAAUGAAGUUAAGACAAAACAAACAAACAAAAAAAAGGACAAGAAUAAUUUCCUCAGGGUCUUGGAGGUCUUCCCCAUAACUCAUUCUGUUAUAAUUGGGUCCAUAUGCAAGAACCUUAGUUAAGAUAAGCUCCAGGGGAAGAACGGUUACUGCAGGUCAUUCAGGAGAGUCUGGAAAUGUCACAGUGCAAAAUGGGUAGAAGGAGGUGAUGAUGGAAGACCAUGUGCAAACAGCAAAGAUGAAGACAGUGUCCUCAACUCACGGGAUUCAUGCCUGGGCCGGCAUGUGCCCCAGGGCAUGGCACAGAGUCAUCAGAAGCAGGGGCUUUUCCCAUUCUGAAGGUUUCUACUUGAGAGAUGGAAGAGAGAAAGGAGGAAGAGGAGAGAGGACACUGCCUGGCUCACUGGUGGAAGGGGACUGACUGAUGGUUCUGGGGAAGAUUCGCGAAGUAUCCACUCAGGGAAGCACAGAAACUACGGGGCAAAGAUGUCCUUGCAGAAUUGUUUAUGAGCGAUGUUUAAAGCAUCUUAUUUAUUCAGUAAGAAAGCAGUUGUUAAAACUAUAGUUCUGCCGGUGGACCACUCAGGGCCCAUUCAGAUAAUG
Molecule: long non-coding RNA, 648 nt
Organism: Fukomys damarensis (Damara mole-rat)
Lineage: Eukaryota; Metazoa; Chordata; Mammalia; Rodentia; Bathyergidae
Exons: 3
Source: RefSeq, a predicted model, not a curated record